This is a small nuclear RNA of Chinchilla lanigera (long-tailed chinchilla), 109 nucleotides long. NCBI's taxonomy places the organism in Eukaryota, Metazoa, Chordata, Mammalia, Rodentia, Chinchillidae. The record is from Ensembl.
GUAUGCUUGCUUCGGCCCCACAUAUACUAAGAUUGGAACAAUACAGAGAAGAUUAGCAUGGCCCCUGUACAAGGAUGACACGCAAAUUCUUGAAGCGUUCCAUAUUUUU